GACGAACGCUGGCGGCAUGCCUAACACAUGCAAGUCUAGGGGUAGCAAUACCACUGGCGCACGGGUGAGUAACACGUAGGUUAUCUGCCCCCAUCACAGACAUAACCCCGGGAAACCGGGGCUAAUAUCUGAUGAGGUCGCGAGAUCAAAGCUUCGGCGGAUGGGGAUGAGCCUGCGGCUGAUUAGCUAGUUGGCGAGGUAAUGGCUCACCAAGGCGACGAUCAGUAGCUGGUCUGAGAGGACGAACAGCCACACUGGAACUGAGACACGGUCCAGACUCCUACGGGAGGCAGCAGUGAGGAAUAUUGGUCAAUGGGAGCAAUCCUGAACCAGCAAUGCCGCGUGUGGGAUGACAGGGCUUCGCCUUGUAAACCACUGUCGGACGGGACGAAAGGAGGCCUCGGGCCUCUGGGACGGUACCGUCAAAGGAAGGGUCGGCUAACACGUGCCAGCAGCCGCGGUAA
This 464-nucleotide ribosomal RNA is filed under the name uncultured bacterium. Its description in RNAcentral is "bacterial SSU rRNA". It matches the Rfam family "Bacterial small subunit ribosomal RNA", at positions 28 to 523 of the family's 1533-position model. The record is from RNAcentral.